Molecule: non-coding RNA, 1038 nt
Organism: Nothobranchius furzeri (turquoise killifish)
Lineage: Eukaryota; Metazoa; Chordata; Actinopteri; Cyprinodontiformes; Nothobranchiidae
Source: the annotation of a RefSeq genome assembly
ACUAAUGAGACAAAAUAAUGAACAUUUAUUCAAAAAAUAUAAAACAUUAUUUUGUGUUUUACCCAAAUACAUAAAAUUCCCACCAGUUUUCUGAACAUUUUAACAUUUUUAUAAAAUUCUAACCGCAGCUGAAUAAAACUGGUAACAGUGUUGCAUCAUCUAUUUGAGGAGGAGUCGAUGCAAAACUCGGAAGUCUUCCAGCUCUAUUUAUCUGACUGCAGAGAUGCUGACAGAGAACUCUGAACACUAGAGUAACACGAUGGAUUAUAGAUCAGGGCUGCUGGUUUUAGCCCUCUGCUGGACAGGUGUUUCAGGUCAGACUCUGACUCAGUCUGAACCAGUGGUUAAAAGACCAGGAGAAUCGCACAAGCUGACCUGUACUGGUUCUGGUUACACAUUCAGUAGUUAUGCGAUGGUCUGGGUCAGACAGGCUCGUGGAAAAGGACUGGAGUGGAUCACCUACAUCAGCAGUGGUGGUGACACUCAGUUCUACUCCCAGUCAGUUAAGGGCCGGUUCACCAUCUCCAGAGACAACAACCAACAGCAGGUGUUUCUGCAGAUGAACAGUCUGAAGCCUGAAGAUUCUGCUGUUUAUUAUUGCGCUCGAGAGCCACAAUGACUGAAGUCAGUGGAGCAGCUGCACAAAAACCUGAAGUCUCUUUGCUUCUUUGAGAUGUUGGAAACAACGUUGCUUCACUUCUUUAGGUUUUGUGGUCAUUUUUUAGUUUAAUGUUUCUUGUUCUUCUGCAACUUUUAGAUAAUAAACAUGAUCAAGUCAUGGGUUUGACUCAGAUAUGGCAGCUCCUCAGUUCUUUUAUUUCUCUUCCUUUUGUCUGUUUACUUUUGUGUUUCUGGAAUAUUUUCCUGUUGAAGAACAAAGUUUCAAACAGCUUCCAGCUGUCAGACCCUAAAGAUCAGGGACCUGAUCUCCUGUAUAACUUCACACAUUUUCAUUAUACAACUUAUUAAUAUUAUGAUGCACAUUUUUCUUCUCACUUUUCAAACAGAAAACUAAACAUCAGUUUGUUACUGAAGCAC